UAGGGAAUAUUGGGCAAUGGAGGGAACUCUGACCCAGCCAUGCCGCGUGCAGGAUGAAGGCGUUAUGCGUUGUAAACUGCUUUUUAUAUAGGAAGAAAUAGUCCUUGCGAGGAAAGUUGACGGUACUAUAUGAAUAAGCACCGGCUAACUCCGUGCCAGCAGCCGCGGUAAUACGGAGGGUGCAAGCGUUGUCCGGAUUUAUUGGGUUUAAAGGGUGCGUAGGCGGUUUAUUAAGUCAGUGGCGAAAGACGGUCGCUCAACGAUUGCAGUGCCAUUGAUACUGGUAGACUUGAGUAUGAUUGAGGUAGCUGGAAUGGAUAGUGUAGCGGUGAAAUGCAUAGAUAUUAUCCAGAACACCAAUUGCGUAGGCAAGUUACUAAGUCAUAACUGACGCUGAGGCACGAAAGUGUGGGUAUCAAACAGGAUUAGAUACCCCCGUAGUCCCUGAGCGGGCUGGCAAGGCGCAU
Molecule: ribosomal RNA, 467 nt
Filed under: uncultured bacterium
Lineage: Bacteria
Description: bacterial SSU rRNA
Rfam family: Bacterial small subunit ribosomal RNA
Source: RNAcentral